This 492-nucleotide ribosomal RNA is filed under the name uncultured bacterium. RNAcentral describes it as "partial 16S ribosomal RNA". It matches the Rfam family "Bacterial small subunit ribosomal RNA", at positions 29 to 507 of the family's 1533-position model. The record is from RNAcentral.
AGUGAACGCUGGCGGUAGGCCUAACACAUGCAAGUCGAACGGCAGCACAGUAAGAGCUUGCUCUUACGGGUGGCGAGUGGCGGACGGGUGAGGAAUACAUCGGAAUCUACUUUUUCGUGGGGGAUAACGUAGGGAAACUUACGCUAAUACCGCAUACGACCUACGGGUGAAAGCAGGGGAUCUUCGGACCUUGCGCGAUUGAAUGAGCCGAUGUCGGAUUAGCUAGUUGGCCGGGUAAAGGCCCACCAAGGCGACGAUCCGUAGCUGGUCUGAGAGGAUGAUCAGCCACACUGGAACUGAGACACGCUCCAGACUCCUACGGGAGGCAGCAGUGGGGAAUAUUGGACAAUGGGCGCAAGCCUGGUCCAGCCAUACCGCGUGGGUGAAGAAGGCCUUCGGGUUGUAAAGCCCUUUUGUUGGGAAAGAAAAGCAGCAGGUUAAUACCCCGCUGUUCUGACGGUACCAAAAGAAUAAGCACCGGCUAACUUCGUG